This 155-nucleotide non-coding RNA is filed under the name Selaginella moellendorffii. Its description in RNAcentral is "Eukaryotic large subunit ribosomal RNA". It matches the Rfam family "Eukaryotic large subunit ribosomal RNA", at positions 2833 to 2984 of the family's 3401-position model. Lineage: Eukaryota; Viridiplantae; Streptophyta; Lycopodiopsida; Selaginellales; Selaginellaceae. The record is from Rfam by way of RNAcentral.
AUUUGUACUUAAUAACAUAUGACAUAACAAUAUUACUUUUUGAUCCUUCGUUAUCAACUCUUCCUAUAAUUGUCAAGCAAAAUUCACCAAAGUGUUGGAUUGUUCAUCCACCAAUAUGGGACAUGAGUUAGGUUUAGACCAUUGUAAAACAUGUU